RNA transcript from Rosa rugosa (rugosa rose), 2126 nucleotides. It is a transcript of the gene named 2-(3-amino-3-carboxypropyl)histidine synthase subunit 1, with no coding region annotated. NCBI's taxonomy places the organism in Eukaryota, Viridiplantae, Streptophyta, Magnoliopsida, Rosales, Rosaceae. The record is from RefSeq and is a predicted model, not a curated record. The transcript is spliced from 3 exons.
UUCAAAUGUAUAUAUGAUGUUUGGACCCUGCCGCUGCUCUGAAGUUUAACCAAGAGACCCAGUUUUCCGACGACCACCUCGUCGCCGAUGGAGGAGGCGCAAAAACCUAGUCUCGCGCUUCUCGGCGACUCAGAACAGCGAAAGCCACAAGCGCCGAAGCGGUUCGUCCGGAGCCAAAUCCCGGACUCAAUACUCCACGACCCGGCUCUCAACGCCGCCAUAAGCCUCCUCCCCUCCAACUACCACUUCGAAGUCCACAAAUGCGUCUGGCGCGUCCGCUCCACGAACGCCUCGCGCGUCGCUCUCCAGCUGCCGGAGGGCCUCCUGAUGUACUCCCUCGUCCUCUCCGAUAUUCUCUCCACCUUCGGAGGCGCCUCCCAGUGCUUCGUUCUCGGCGACGCCACUUACGGCGCGUGCUGCGUCGACGACCUCGCCGCCAAGGCCCUCAACGCCGACCUCCUCAUUCACUUCGGCCACAGCUGCCUCGUCCCCCUCCACGUCACCUCCAUCCCCUGCCUCUACGUCUUCGUCGAAAUCUCCAUCGACGUCGGCCGGUUAAUCCAGACCGUCCAUCUCAACCUCCAAAACCCUCUCCCUAAAACCCUAGUCCUCGCCGGAACAAUCCAGUUCGCUUCGGCGAUUCGAGCGGCCAAACCCGAGCUUGAAGCCCGGGGUUUCAAGGUCUUGGUCCCACAGUCUAAGCCCUUGUCCGCCGGCGAGGUUUUGGGGUGUACAGCCCCGAAAAUCUCACGAAACCACGGCGGUGAGGACGGUGGUGACACUGUACUGGUGUUCGUGGCCGACGGCCGGUUUCAUCUGGAAGCUUUUAUGAUAGCAAAUCCAGGGGUUAAGGCGUUUCGGUACGAUCCUUAUAUGGGGAAGCUGUUUUUGGAGGAAUAUGAUCACAAAGGGAUGAGGGAGUCGAGAAAAAGCGCAGUGUUGAGAGCCAAAGAGGCCUCCAAUUGGGGCAUUGUGCUUGGGACUUUAGGAAGGCAAGGGAAUCCGAGGAUUCUACAGAGAUUGGAGAAGAAGAUGAGGGAGAAGGGGUUUGAUUAUACUGUGGUGUUAAUGUCGGAGAUUAGUCCGGCGAGAAUUGCUUUGUUUGAGGACUCUGUGGAUGCUUGGAUACAGAUUGCUUGUCCUCGACUGUCCAUUGAUUGGGGGGAUGCAUUUACAAAGCCCCUUUUGAAUCCUUUCGAGACUGACAUUGCUCUCGGCUUCAUUCCUGGUUGGUGGGAGAGGAAUAAGAAAAGUGAUUCGGGGUGCUGUGCUUGUGGUAAUGGCAAUGGGACUGCUGAAGACCUUGUAGGGGACUAUCCCAUGGAUUACUAUGCUGCGGAUGGAGGGGAGUGGAACUCCUCUUAUGUCAACAAGCCGACACGCCCUGUUCGCAGGGAUUCCGCAUUGGCAACUGCCAACAUUGAAUAGACCUUGUAGGUGAUUAUCCCUUACUACGCUCUGGAUGGGGAGAAAUGGAACUCCUGUUAUGCCAGCAAACCAACAUGCUCUCUUCGAAUGUAUUCAGGAUACUGCCACCACAGAUUAGAAUAGUGUGAGCUGAUUCUGCCAAGCUUAUCCAGUCAGGGACUAAGUUUCUUGGACUCGUUAUAGCUAUUUAAGAUGACCAGAAACAAUUUUCCAACUGCAGAGAAAAGUUAAGCCUGAUAUCUGCCUUGAUUUCUUGAAUAUCAGUUUCCAGAUAAUUACCAAAACUUCAAGGACUGUUUUUCAUUUUUUGGUAAUUAUAGUGCAAAUAGUUCAGAGAGAUAUGAGGUUCCAAUAGGCCCAAGAUAGUUAAAAUCGGUUUGUUUCCAUUUUCUACAAGCAAUGCCACAAAUGACACCAAAAAGUUUUGCUCUCAGUUUUGUAUAACCGGCGCAUCACAUGGCUAUUCUGAUGUGAUGAGUUGAACCAAUGUAAUAUCUCAUGACAUGUAUUUGUAGCAAAUCUUUUCUCUUUGCAAUUGCCAUCUCCACCAGCAACUUAUUAAAUUCCUCACACUGUUCCACUGUUCCAGAUGGUGAGCUUGAGAAAGAUGUAAUGUGAAGUUGAAGAAAAUUGCUUGACAGUCAUCUUCCUUUCCUGCUUGGAAAUUGUUGUUUAUAUCAAUUCUAUUUUUCUGGUAA